Panicum virgatum (switchgrass) is the source of this 442-nucleotide long non-coding RNA. RefSeq lists it as uncharacterized. Lineage: Eukaryota; Viridiplantae; Streptophyta; Magnoliopsida; Poales; Poaceae. The transcript has 2 exons. The record is from RefSeq and is a predicted model, not a curated record.
ACCAUCACGUGCUGAUCCAUUGUGAGCUUUUUUAACUCAAUCUUUUGUGAGUUUUUUACAAUCCUUACAUGUAUCUUACAUAUCUAAAUAACUCGCAGCGCUACACCAACUAGAGCCAUCAGUUGUGCUUCUACACCAAGCCCUGUGACAAGAAGGUAGACCUGUAAUUUGAAUUUGAAUAUUCGUCUUUCUUCUCAAAUCUGCAAUUUCACAUCUUUCUAUCUUCGUGCAGCAUGUCAAGGAGGUUGUUGGAACUAGAGCCAUCUACACCAACUAGAGCAAUCGCUACAGUUUCUACACCGAGCCCUAUGACAAGGAGCCGCAAAAGGAUACUAGAACUUGAAGACAUCAUAGAGCCAGUUGCUUCUCAAACCACAUCUCCAGUUGCUAUUGAGAAGGGAAAGGCAAAAAAAUUGAAGGUUGUCAGGUCCAGGAAAAAUUA